CAUGAGUCCCAGUGGGAGUGGGCUGGGAUAAGUAGUUAUGUUAAUAAAACCUUUCCACAUUAGAAGUGUGAGUCAGAUUCGAUAUAUAAAUAUCAUUAAGAAGUUACACACAGAGGGAGUUUAAUUUUAGUCCAAAUAGAUCAUCUGUUUGCACCCCCUUCUGAAAUAGAGGCGGCAGAAGUUGUUAUGUCUUUCAAAUUACAUUGAUCACUACCGAGAGGAAAACAUCCUGGAGGAGGUCAUUUUCCUUGUGGACUGCUGUCCUGGAUACUGUCUGUCUCUACAAAGCUUGAGUUUCCAGAGCAACCGGGAAAGAGUGGAGAGUGUGCCUUUCUCCUCUUUGCUUUAACCCAUUCAGGAAAUCUCACAUCAGCUCUUCCCCCUGCACUGUGUAGCAGACCACGGGGGCUGUGGAUCUGGGCUGGUGACGGUGCACAAAGUCCUUCUAAGGAGGAGACAUGGAAUUCAGUCAUUCUUCAGUUUCUUGGGAGCUCCCUUUCUGCUCGGGCUCCCUUGUGAGGAGAUGUACCUGGUGGACUUCAGAAAUUGAUCUGCCCCCUUUAUGUGACCUCCACUCUGCUGCUGCUCCUUAAGGUCUUCUCAUGGAUGUUUGUAGAGAAGAUGAGUGUACAUUAUAGCCUCCAUUGGGCUUGUGUCUCAUGACUGGAAGAAGCCAGAUGGGAGCAUUAUAGGAGAGACAGCCCACCCCUCCCAGGAAGUGCCCCGUUUCACAGGGAGACAAUAGCCAGUUGUCUGGUAGACGCUAUAUAAAGCAGAGCUGAGCAGAGGGUCUCUUCAUU
Molecule: long non-coding RNA, 800 nt
Filed under: Marmota monax (woodchuck)
Lineage: Eukaryota; Metazoa; Chordata; Mammalia; Rodentia; Sciuridae
Source: RNAcentral